RNAcentral lists this ribosomal RNA (247 nucleotides) under uncultured bacterium. Its description in RNAcentral is "partial 16S ribosomal RNA". It matches the Rfam family "Bacterial small subunit ribosomal RNA", at positions 15 to 253 of the family's 1533-position model. The record is from RNAcentral.
GAUUAUGGCUCAGGAUGAACGCUAGCUACAGGCUUAACACAUGCAAGUCGAGGGGCAGCGGGAUUGAAGCUUGCUUCAAUUGCCGGCGACCGGCGCACGGGUGAGUAACGCGUAUCCAACCUUCCGUACACUCAGGGAUAGCCUUUCGAAAGAAAGAUUAAUACCUGAUGGUAUCUUAAGCACACAUGUAAUUAAGAUUAAAGAUUUAUCGGUGUACGAUGGGGGUGCGUUCCAUUAGGUAGUAGGG